GGUGAGCCUCACCACUUUGUGAACAAACUGCGUGAGCAAAUAGUCCAACAGUUUAACAACAAUUUAAGGAUUUCAUCAUCUACGGUCCAUAAUAUAAUCAAAGGAUUCAGAGAAUGUGGAGACAUCUCCAGAGGCAUCGAAGCCUCUGAUGUUCGAGUCCAUCAUUUCUGUUCUUUCUUCUCUCCUUCAACUCCUUACAGUAAACACCUGCACACGCGCUGAAUCGAAAAACAUGAUGAAUAGCUUCGGUGAAAGCCUUCUGUCACCAAUGAAGAGAUCCCUCUCACAUGCACAAAUAGUGAAGAAAAAGGAGGCGGGAAACGCACGAGCAUGUGGCUGACAUUAUCAUCUACUGUAUCAUUGGAGUGCAAUGAAAGCUCUGCCAAGGCCUCAACGCUGUGUGCUAUAGAUGUGUGGAUGGUCAGUUUUUUACAGUGACUAAGUCUAAAUUCUGCUCUCCUUUUUGUUGUUGUUUUUUAGUUACUUGCUUGCUGUAUAUCUUGGACUAAUACCUAUUAUUAAUAGCUGACCAGCAGUGGCUGGGGGAUAAACCGGAAUAUCAUGCAAGCACACUCAAAAGUUCCAAGCAGAUAUUCAAUCCCACGACUUUCCUGCUGUGAGGCAGACAUGCUAACCACCAGGAGAAACAUAUUCGAUGCAAUCUGGAACAAAAGUAUGUCUUUGGCAAGUAACUGCUUACAGUAAACACACUACACACACGCUGAAUCGAACCCCUGCUGAACAGAAUAUCCCUCAAACAAAUUGCCCAAAAGAAACUACUGCCAGAGACGGACGGUGCUUUGAGCUGGACAAACAGGUGGGAACUUCCCUGCAGUGAGCAGAAGCCAGCUCGUGUAAAGAACAAAAGGUAUUUUGGCCGAAUCACAAUGCAAUACAGUACAAUACAAUAUAGACCCACGGCUUUUAUUAUGGCACUCAGCUCCCAGAUUGGUCUCUAAUUUGAUAUACAGUACAGCUGCUAUUAUUACACUCACAGCUCUCAAAAAUGUAGAAGUGAGAAGUAUAACAUCAAAGCAAAACACUUUUACACACAGAAUUGCAAAUCAAUUCAAACAACGUUUGUCAUGUCAUUUCUUCUCUUCGCUUCCAUCAGCUGUUCGUCAAGGGUUUAAAUUUGAGAUUUGAUUCGUAACAGCUUUGAUCUUGAGGUUAAUUGGCUUGAAUACACACUAUAGGGCUCG
Phyllopteryx taeniolatus (common seadragon) is the source of this 1202-nucleotide long non-coding RNA. RefSeq lists it as uncharacterized. Lineage: Eukaryota; Metazoa; Chordata; Actinopteri; Syngnathiformes; Syngnathidae. The record is from RefSeq and is a predicted model, not a curated record. The transcript is spliced from 3 exons.